RNAcentral lists this transfer RNA (71 nucleotides) under Actinomycetota bacterium. Its description in RNAcentral is "tRNA-Cys". It matches the Rfam family "tRNA". Rfam says of the family: Transfer RNA (tRNA) molecules are approximately 80 nucleotides in length. Lineage: Bacteria; Bacillati; Actinomycetota. The record is from RNAcentral.
GUCCGAGUGGCCGAGGGGCAAGGCGACGGCCUGCAAAGCCGUUCACACCGGUUCGAAUCCGGUCUCGGACU